This 199-nucleotide long non-coding RNA is filed under the name Elaeis guineensis (African oil palm). Its description in RNAcentral is "long non-coding RNA (EGUI_LNC020232)". The record is from RNAcentral. Lineage: Eukaryota; Viridiplantae; Streptophyta; Magnoliopsida; Arecales; Arecaceae.
CUGCAGGACUAUCUUUAACUUUCGAUACUAAUUAUUGAAAUUCGAUCCGAUAAACUUCUCACUAUCCAACAGUGAUCGGAGUGACAAGUUUGAGGCCAUAUCUACACAUACAAGAAAAAUAGAAAACCUAAUUAGUAUAUAAAUUUGUUAAUCAUAAAGAUUUGGACUUUAGUUUAAAGGUCCUUCUACUAUUUUAUAC